This 852-nucleotide ribosomal RNA is filed under the name uncultured bacterium. RNAcentral's name for it is "bacterial SSU rRNA". It matches the Rfam family "Bacterial small subunit ribosomal RNA", at positions 36 to 878 of the family's 1533-position model. The record is from RNAcentral.
CUAGCUACAGGCUUAACACAUGCAAGUCGAGGGGCAGCGGUAUCGAAAGCUUGCUUUCGGUAGCCGGCGACCGGCGCACGGGUGAGUAACGCGUAUCGAACCUGCCUCAUACUCGGGAAUAGCCUUGCGAAAGUAAGAUUAAUGCCCGGUGUUUUCAGAGUCCCGCAUGAGGCUUUGAACAAAGAUUUAUCGGUAUGAGAUGGCGAUGCGUCCCAUUAACUUGUUGGCGGGGUAACGGCCCACCAAGGCAUCGAUGGGUAGGGGUUCUGAGAGGAAGGUCCCCCACAUUGGAACUGAGACACGGUCCAAACUCCUACGGGAGGCAGCAGUGAGGAAUAUUGGUCAAUGGGCGGAAGCCUGAACCAGCCAAGUAGCGUGCAGGAAGACGGCCCUCCGGGUUGUAAACUGCUUUUAGUUGGGAAUAAAACGGGGCUCGUGAGCCCCCUUGCAUGUACCAUCAGAAAAAGGACCGGCUAAUUCCGUGCCAGCAGCCGCGGUAAUACGGAAGGUUCGGGCGUUAUCCGGAUUUAUUGGGUUUAAAGGGAGCGCAGGCGGACCUUUAAGUCAGCUGUGAAAUACGGCGGCUCAACCGUCGAACUGCAGUUGAUACUGGAGGUCUUGAGUGCACACAGGGAUGCUGGAAUUCAUGGUGUAGCGGUGAAAUGCUCAGAUAUCAUGAAGAACUCCGAUCGCGAAGGCAGGCAUCCGGGGUGCAACUGACGCUGAGGCUCGAAAGUGCGGGUAUCAAACAGGAUUAGAUACCCUGGUAGUCCGCACAGUAAACGAUGAAUACUCGCGGUUUGCGAUACAGUGUAAGCCGCCAAGCGAAAGCGUUAAGUAUUCCACCUGGGG